AGCAGCCGCGGUAACUCCAGCUCCAAUAGCGUAUAUUAAAGUUGUUGCAGUUAGAAAGCUCGUAGUUGAAUUUCGGGGUCAGUAGGUUGGUCGUGCCAACGGUAUGCACUGGCCUUACUGAUUCCUCCCUCUUGUAGAACCGUAAUGCCAUUAAUUUGGUGUUGCGGGGAAACAGGACUGUUACUUUGAAAAAAUUAGAGUGUUUAAAGCAGGCUAACGCCUGAAUACAUUAGCAUGGAAUAAUGAAAUAGGACGUUCGACCCUAUUUUGUUGGUUUCUAGGAUUGACGUAAUGAUUAAUAGGGAUAGUUGGGGGCAUUAGUAUUCAAUUGUCAGGGGUGAAAUUCUUGGAUUUAUUGAAGACUAACUACUGCGAAAGCAUUUGCCAGGGAUGUUUUCAUUAAUCAAGAACGAAAGUUAGGGGAUCGAAGACGAUCAGAUACCGUCGUAGUCUUAACCAUAAACUAUGCCGACUAGGGAUCGGAUGAUGUUAAUUUUUUAAUGACUCA
RNAcentral lists this ribosomal RNA (508 nucleotides) under uncultured Rhizophagus. Its description in RNAcentral is "SSU rRNA". It matches the Rfam family "Eukaryotic small subunit ribosomal RNA", at positions 569 to 1078 of the family's 1831-position model. The record is from RNAcentral. Lineage: Eukaryota; Fungi; Glomeromycota; Glomeromycetes; Glomerales; Glomeraceae.